RNAcentral lists this unclassified non-coding RNA (326 nucleotides) under Hevea brasiliensis (rubber tree). Lineage: Eukaryota; Viridiplantae; Streptophyta; Magnoliopsida; Malpighiales; Euphorbiaceae. The record is from RNAcentral.
GGAACAGUGACCACAGCAUCCUUAAUAGUCUUCCCAAGGAAUGCUUCGGCUGUCUCUUUCAUCUUUGUCAAAAUCAUGGCGCUGAUUUCCUCAGGACUAAAUACCUUAACUUCUCCAUCCUUGAUUUUGACUUGUAUGUAGGGCUUUCCAUCCUUGCUGACAAUCUUGUAUGGUACCAGCUUCAUAUCCCUCUGUACUUCCUUAUCUUCAAAUUUUCUUCCAAUCAGCCUCUUAACAUCAAAGAUUGUUCUUUCUGGGUUGACCGCAGCCAGGUUCUUGGCAGCCUCACCAAUCAAUCUCUCGUUAUCAGUGAAUGCAACCCAUGA